UGAAACAGUGCCGUAUCUAAAAAAUAAAACUGGUACCUUUCAGUGAAGAUUAGCACAGCGCCUGCACAAAGAAGACCUGCAAAUUUGUGAAGUGUUCCAUAUUUCU
This is a small nuclear RNA of Diceros bicornis minor, 106 nucleotides long. Lineage: Eukaryota; Metazoa; Chordata; Mammalia; Perissodactyla; Rhinocerotidae. The record is from RefSeq and is a predicted model, not a curated record.